Molecule: ribosomal RNA, 301 nt
Filed under: uncultured bacterium
Lineage: Bacteria
Description: partial 16S ribosomal RNA
Rfam family: Bacterial small subunit ribosomal RNA
Source: RNAcentral
CAGUAGCCACGGUAAUACGAGGGGGACAAGCGUUGUUCGGAAUUAUUGGGCGUAAAGGGCGCGUAGGCGGUUUGGCAAGUUUGGUGUGAAAUCUUCGGGCUCAACUCGAAGUCUGCACCGAAAACUGCCGGGCUUGAGUAUGGGAGAGGUGAGUGGAAUUUCCGGUGUAGCGGUGAAAUGCGUAGAGAUCGGGAGGAACAUCAGUGGCGAAGGCGGCCAUCUGGGACAACACUGACGCUGAGGCACGAAAGCGUGGGGAGCAAACAGGAUUAGAUACCCCUGUAGUCCCUGUCUCUUAUAC